This 1890-nucleotide long non-coding RNA is filed under the name Homo sapiens (human). RNAcentral describes it as "long independently transcribed non-coding RNA 1819, transcript variant 3 (LINC01819)". Lineage: Eukaryota; Metazoa; Chordata; Mammalia; Primates; Hominidae. The record is from RNAcentral.
AGAGAGGCUGUGAGGGUGGCUUUGUGAGGAUGGCUUUGUGUGGCUGCACAUUGCCCUUGGCCAAGCCCCGCUGCCAGGAGAGGCAGCUCGGCUGCCAAACCUCCUGAACCCAAGUUACCUGAGCAAGCAGCCCUAUCCCCUCGCCUGCUUCUCACUGCCUCGCCUGCCUUGGGCCUGCCCGACCCAGGGGGUCACAUGCCUUGUUCCCCAUCAGUGGAGACCAGGGACAAGAAGACAGUUCUGUGGGAAGAGCCAGGAGGACCAUUUGGGAAAAUACAGGUUCCAGGUGUGUCUCCAGACCUUGAGAGUUGGUGUCUCCUGGGAAGAGGCCCUGAUGAGAUCUGGGGAGAUUCGGAUCUGAUGAGAUUCAGGAAGCCCUGGCCUCUCCGUACUUGAGGAGACGGGACACACAGGACAAGCUGCAGGCUGGUGAGCAGAUUUUAUCUAAUCAGGAUUCCAGAGCACAAGACAAAUGGCCUCACGUCCGGCUGGGAGGUGUAAUUCAUUCUCCUGGGUUCACCUUCUAUUUUGAAGACCCGCUUCUUCCUCAGGUACCUGAUCUUGAAAACGACCUCCCCUUUCAGUUCUGGAGGCCAGAAGCCCAAAAUCAGUCUCGCUGGGCUAACGUGAAGGUGUCAGUCGGGCUGGUUCCUUCUGGAGGCUCCAGAAAAGAAUCUGUUUUCUUGCCUUUUCUGGCUCAGUUUCUCGGCUUGUGGCUCCUUCCUCCAUCUUCAAAGAGCACCACUCCAAUCUGCUCCUCCAUCAGGUCACCUUCUGCCUGACUCCUACAUCCCUUUCAGAAGGACCCUUGUGAUUCCAUGAGGUCCACCCAGAUCACGCAGGAUAAUGUCCCCGUCUCAAGAGGCUUAAUCUAAUCACAGGUCUUGCUUCCCCUCAACCCAGACACCGACUCGCCCAAGGGUCUUCCAGCUGGCUGAGUUGGAACCUGCAUUUUUUAACCACAAGGAAAAGAAGCCCAGAGCUACCAAGAAUAAUAUUUUAUUGACUUGGAAUGAGUUUUGGAAUCUGUAUUUUUAACAAGCUGCCCAGUGAAAACCAUUUCCUCCUCGUCGUGGCGCAGGUCCAGAGGCUGCGCCCAUCUCUCCCACGUCAACAGUCCUGUGUCCUUGGCGAAGGACUGUUCUCUCAUUCAGUGCCUUUCCUCUCUUCCUGGGCCAAAUCCCUGCUUUGCGUCUCCCUGCAGCUCAUAAAAAGCUGAAUUACCUGAGGCAGGGAAAGCCCCACCCACUGUCAUUCUCAGGGAGGAGUGGAGUCUGCAGAGGCCGCAAUGCACAGCUUCCCUAUCCCCCUCCACCCGUGUUUUCCCAGAGCAGCUCUGUUCCAGGCCCGGGGGUGUCCCUGGGCCGAGAUGGAAUCCAGCCCUGACCACCUCCCAAAGCCAACAGCCCUGAGUGAGCGUGCAGAGAAGCAAGAGCUGUUCCUGAUGCAGAGCAAAGACAUCUCCCAGUCAAGGGGGAUGAACUGAUUUGGGACAAAAGGCAGUUGUUGGCUGAGGAAGGCAGGAUCUGGGGGAGCCCUGUGCUGAGUGGAGGUGGGUGGGUGUAUUUCCUUGGCUCACAGAGGCCUCUUGUCUGGUGGGAUCAGCUCCUCCAGCCAGUUGCCACCUGGUCCAGCUUUGGGAGAUGUGGAGAAUGACUUUCGCAGUGAUUUCCACUGGGCCAUGGCAUUGAAACAGCUGCAGGAGGGGACACAGCUGGUGCCACCCCUACUCCGUCCAUUAGAGCUGCUGUGAAGGAAUGCCACCCUCCCCAUGGGGAGUGAGGGGGCCCUACUUGCUGUGGUUGGUUCCAGGGACCAUGGGAAGAGGCAAACCCCUAUUUUCAAGGGCACAAGUUGGCUUUUAUUAAAAUAAAAUUUCAUCAUCACUUA